RNAcentral lists this ribosomal RNA (372 nucleotides) under uncultured Glomeromycotina. Its description in RNAcentral is "LSU rRNA". The record is from RNAcentral. Lineage: Eukaryota; Fungi; Glomeromycota.
UUGAAAGGGAAACGAUUGAAGUCAGUCGUACCUGCGGGUAAUCAGCCUUUUGGGUGUGAUUAUGUGGAGCGUGAGGAGCUAAUCGCCUUCAUCUUUGCAUAUUCGUGCACUUUGGGUGUACUUGCUCGUGUGGUAGGUUAACAUCAAUUUUGAUCAUCAUAAAAUGAUUGAAGGAAUGUAGCUUCGAUCUCGUAUUGAAGUGUUAUAGCCUUUGGUAGAUGUGAUGAUCGGGAUUGAGGAUUGCAACGGAUACCCUUCGGGGCUACCCGUCUGAUCUCUGAAAGUUGCUCUGGUGCUGAAAGCUUGCUUAUGGUAUCAAAGUUGACGUUCAAUAGGUUAGAACGGGAUAAAUUCGUUAAGGAUGUUGACGUA